UACGUAGGGGGCUAGCGUUGUCCGGAAUCAUUGGGCGUAAAGAGCGCGUAGGCGGCCCGGUAAGUCCGCUGUAAAAGUCAAAGGCUCAACCUUUGAAUGUCAGUGGAUACUGCCGGGCUAGAGUCCGGAAGAGGCGAGUGGAAUUCCUGGUGUAGCGGUGGAAUGCGCAGAUAUCAGGAGGAACACCAACGGCGAAGGCAGCUCUCUGGUACGUGAUUGACGCUGAGACGCGAAAGCGUGGGUAGCAAACAGG
This 253-nucleotide ribosomal RNA is filed under the name uncultured bacterium. RNAcentral describes it as "partial 16S ribosomal RNA". It matches the Rfam family "Bacterial small subunit ribosomal RNA", at positions 524 to 776 of the family's 1533-position model. The record is from RNAcentral.